CCCGGUCGUACUCAUAACCG
Molecule: small nuclear RNA, 20 nt
Filed under: Arabidopsis thaliana (thale cress)
Lineage: Eukaryota; Viridiplantae; Streptophyta; Magnoliopsida; Brassicales; Brassicaceae
Description: snRNA_09113
Source: RNAcentral